GAUAAACGCUGGCGGCGUGCUUAACACAUGCAAGUCGAACGAAGUUUUUCUUUCGGGAGGAACUUAGUGGCGGACGGGUGAGUAACGCGUGGGUAACCUGCCCUGUACAGGGGGACAACAGCUGGAAACGGCUGCUAAUACCGCAUAAGCCCUUAGCACUGCAUGGUGCAUAGGGAAAAGGAGCAAUCCGGUACAGGAUGGACCCGCGUCUGAUUAGCCAGUUGGCAGGGUAACGGCCUACCAAAGCGACGAUCAGUAGCCGAUCUGAGAGGAUGUACGGCCACAUUGGAACUGAGACACGGCCCAGACUCCUACUGGAGGCAGCAGUGGGGAAUAUUGCACAAUGGAGGAAACUCUGAUGCAGCGACGCCGCGUGAGUGAAGAAGUAUUUCGGUAUGUAAAGCUCUAUCAGCAGGAAAGAAAAUGACGGUACCUGACUAAGAAGCACCGGCUAAAUACGUG
This 462-nucleotide ribosomal RNA is filed under the name uncultured bacterium. Its description in RNAcentral is "partial 16S ribosomal RNA". It matches the Rfam family "Bacterial small subunit ribosomal RNA", at positions 28 to 507 of the family's 1533-position model. The record is from RNAcentral.